This is a long non-coding RNA of Oenanthe melanoleuca, 6865 nucleotides long. RefSeq lists it as uncharacterized. The transcript has 9 exons. The record is from RefSeq and is a predicted model, not a curated record. Lineage: Eukaryota; Metazoa; Chordata; Aves; Passeriformes; Muscicapidae.
UCCAAGCAGUUAAGAGCUGUUUUGUAAAUUUGCUGUGCUUUUACCCUAGUUUUACCUGGGAAUUAAAAUGGUGAAUGCAUAGUCUCAUACUACUGCUUUAUUGAGAUGAUUAUACUCCAAAUACAGUGGCUAUGUUCUCUAUUUGCAAAUCUGACUGUACAUAGUUGGAUCAUAAUUAUCUGAUUCUCUUCUUGGCUCCUGCCUCAUUUAGGUAUGCUCUGGUUGAGUCACUGGGGAAUUGUGCACAGAGGAGCUGGCUGGCCCCUUGCCUUCUUUUCCAGGUUUACCAGAGUUAAAACUCACUUACUAGCAUUUUUGCUUGAAAAAUGUGAUAAUCUUCCAUGUGUUCUAAUAGGGAAAAAAAGGCACGAAUUAGCAUCAGAGGUACUGUACUGUGACACAUCAAGUUUUUCCCUUCAAUUAAAUUAUUCAGUGGAAGGGUGUCAGAAAGAGGUCUAGCACUGUUUGUUUGGCAUGGAUCAGUAGUCAGACCGGGGUGAUUCAGUGUGCCUUGUAUUUGUGAAAUAAGUUACUUUUCCCUUUAUGUAAGGGGAAGCAUUUGUGGGAGUUUGCCUCUCAGGCUGUGUGGUCACACAAAGUGGCAGAAAAUUGUGUCUGCAGGGCAUGUAAUCCUGCGGGAUGAUGCUGCAUGAGGUGAUGUGUGGCUCCAGUCAGAGGUCAGACUGCCCAGUAGGAGGAACAAGAGCUUCUUCAGCCACAGCUCUGUGUGUGUUGCAUACAAAGGGUUGUACCUUCUUUGAACCUCAUCAUGGUUGUAAAUAGUCACAUUUCUUAUAACUGAGAAUUGCUUUAUUACAUUACCAGAAAGAAAUAGAAGCACAAAGGAGUGGUUAUCCACUUCCAAACAUUGUGUCUGUAGACGAGCAGAGUAGUGGCUCCUAAUGCAGCUGUUGUGGGCAUGUAGAACAAUGUGAUUAAGAUUUCUGUUCUCUCAGGCUGGUUGUGCUUGCUCUUGUGCUCAUUGUAAUUGAUUGACUGGCAGCAGUGUGCUCGUUUCUUAGUGCACUUGUCCUGGUGCCCACUGGCACUCAGCUGCCAUCCCUGGCUGGCCAGGUGUUACCCUGGGAGUGUUACCGUGCUAAUGAGUGUGACAGUGGCUGUAAUGUAUAGGAAAGGGGGUCUGGGAGAAGUUAAACAAGGUUGAUCCAUCAGUCAGGAAAAAUGAGCAAAAUUUGCCCUCAAUGUGGAGUGCACUGAAGAAACAGUGUUGCAGACCAGUUAUCUGUGGAUUCUUUUGAGUUCCAUGGAGUAAAUGCUGUGGAGAAGACUUGGCUCAGAGCUUUGAGGACCAAGUAAUUGAGGUAAACCCUGAGUUACACAGGACAUAGGCAUGGUUUUAUAAGUACUGGAAGUACUGAAAAGUGUUUCUUCUGAUUUCAGCUAAUAAUAGGGAAUGUGGUAUACAAUUGUUUGCUUGAUUGGUUAAUUUUAUUGUGUGUAAAUACAAGUUUGCCUUUUGUUCAGUGGUACUCAGCUGCCGUGCUUUUGGUAAAUCCAGUGAAUUAAGGGGAGUAAGUAAUGUGCCCUGGUCUGUCAGUGAAACAAGUCCCUUUAAAAUUAAGGCCAUGAGGGAUAUGGUGAGGGUGAAGAGGAGUUAGAAAAACAGUGAGCAGAACUGGUCACCUGUGCCACAGAACAGAAACCUUCAGGCCACAUGUGCCCCAGGCACACGACUGGUGAUGUGAGCUGCCUCAGUGAAAAAGGAGUGGUGCUCUCCCAUGUGUGGCAUGAAACUCUGAUGCCACUGAUCUUAAUGAAAAUGCACUGGGUUUUGCACUGGGGCAGAUGAGAGCAGAAUCUGGCCAACUGUUAAUAGCUUUUUGUUAUUUGAGGCUGAAAUAAAGUGGCUGUGUAUGCAAAUAAUUGUGCUAGUGUGACUUCUGAAUGACUCCCAGAAGGAGAAUUCAGUAUUUAAUUGUUGGAAAUACAAACUGUUUGGCACAAAUUUCCUGGUUUGGCUGAGCUAUACUUGACCUGUGACAGAGAGAGCAAAGGUGAUUUUAAGUCCUGGGAUCUGAGGGGCCACUGUGUAAUGUAACUUGAGUUAGAGUCAGUGUGUUGACUGCUUUGCAAUUGCAGAUACUUAUUCUGUGUACAAAAUCAGUUGAUUCAUUAUCUUUUAUUUCCAUUAUCUCAAUCUUUAUGUGUGAAUCUGAGCUAUUUGAGUUCAAGGGAAUGGCAUAUAACUAGAAUUUUUAAAAAGGUGCUUGAUAAUAAAAAUUUGAUUGUUCUGAUAUAAAGAUGUUCUGGUAUAAUCAAAAUGAUGAAACUGGUUAAAUCUAUCUUCAGAAUCUGAAAACUUUGCAAGGAGUCUAAGAAGUUCAAAAUAACCUUUCUUCUACUCCAUGACCUGCAUUUCUUGCAGUAUUUUGAUCCAUGCCUUGGAACAAGGAUAGUAUAGCUCUUAGAAUAUAAGAGACAAUUAGAAGCAACCAUAAUGCUGUAGCUUAACACUCUGUUACUCUUCAGCUGUACUUCAGGAAUCAGCUGAACUCAAAGAACUCUGCUCUUAAUACAGAAGUCAUGUGGGGAAGACAGCUUAAGCCAUCUUUAUUUUGUUAAAUUCUGAAACUGUGAUAAUCUCAUCAUAAAUUAUCAGAUAUCCUUACACCUAGAAAUGUGGCCAUCCCAUUUUAAACUCUGGAGAGCAGAGAAUGUUUUUUCUGGAGCCAAGAUCUAUAAAUGCUUUCAGCUUUCAAGGAGCCUCCAGUAUUUGAAAAGUAAGUUUUACUUACACAAGCUAAAUAUUGCCACUUUUAAGUGCAAGUGUUGAUGUGGAGAGAUAUGAAAUUUUGUUGGAUUACAAGUGUGAGCCCAGAGUUGAUGGGGUAUGUUUGAAAAUAAUUCCUGGCAGAAGUUACGCUGGCUGAGAAUCAUCCUCACACUGUGUUGACAUCACUGGAAGAUGCACACAUGAAAUGAAAGUACUGUGUGGCCUUUAAGCUUCUGUUCCUGUGGUACCUGAAGUUUCAUAAUACACAGAAGAAACAUUCACUUUUCCAGGUAAUUGUUACAGAAUGGGUGUCUGAUCUAUUUCGGUCUGCUCUGUCUGGGAAAUGUCUCCAUGACUUUAGUGAAGUGCUGUGCGUGCACAACAAAGAGGCUUUUUGGAUGGAAUUUGUAAUGCAGGACUCAUUAACUGAUAGUGGAUAAUUUUGAAAGAGAUUAGUACAGCACUUGCUGCUCACUUAUAUCAUAGAAAUAACUUGAGGUAAUAUGUUCACCAUACUGAGAUGUUCUCUAAAAUACUUGCUAACAGGUUACUUAUGCUUCUGUAUGCCAAAAGCAGUAGCUUUUUCUCCAAACCAAACAGAAAAUUAGAUUAUCUUAUUUUUUAUUUGUAUGGGGAGUAAGUGUGAAAAUUGUUAUGGAUGUUAUGUAAGGGUCACCAGUGGGAAAUCAGGUCCAGUGCUUUGUGUGUUUGUCUAAAGCAAGUGGCAUUUCCAUUUUGUUUUUCAAGACCGCUGAGGUCUUGUCUGCAACUAUAUCAAGAAUAUAUUCUCUAUCACACAGAAAAAUCAGUCAAGUUUCCUGUUGGUGUGUGUCUCCUCCUUUUGGCUGCUUAUUAUUUUAGAUACAGCUCUAUGGCACAGGAACUGUCGGUCAGUACUCAUGAGCCUGUGGGCACUGCUGGAAUAGAGAGAGCAACUUUCCUUCCACUGCUGUUUUGUGUAACUGAAGACUAAGCUGGAGGGCUGGUGGUUUGCUUUUCUAGGUGAACCCAGGGAAGCAGGUGCAUUGCAUAAGGAGUCCUGCAUUGCUUUGGUUGGCUCUGAAUGUGGCUGGAUACAUCAGAAAUCCCAGAGUUUCUCAGCUUUCAGCCCUGUCUCUGUGUCCUACAGCACCAGUCUCCAGGGAACUGAGAUUGGAGGAUAUGCGUUGCAUAAAAAAGUCCCGGUCCCUGGGAAUUUAUGAAAAAUAGCAGAAUAAAUACUUAUAACUUGCUUUCAUGUUACAUGGCAUGGGACUUGCUCUUCCUUGCAGAUGACUUCUCCAGUGCUGUUUGGAUGUGCCUGCUGCUCUGUGAUUGCUCCUAAAGCCUUGAUUUGACAGCAGCCUCUGGCAUGCUGUGGGCCAGCAGAUCUGCAUAGCAACAGACCUGCCAGUCUUCCUGCAGAGAGUUGAAGGAAUUUUGGAGAAAAUAAGCGAGUCAGAAAUUUGCUAUUCUUUUCUGUGGCAGUUCCCUGGAUUCAAAGUGUCCCUCGUCUCUGGCACAGCCAAGAACAGGGACUGUGUGGAGAGCUGUGUUUGAUGGCACCUGGGUCAGCAGAAGGGCACACAAGUUAUUCUGCUACUUGCAUGUCUGCUGGAGAAGGUGGAGGUGUUCCUGUGCCAUACUGGUAAUACAACAAAACUGCCAUGAAAGCUCUGAUUAGAAGAUGAAGUGUGAUGCUAUAAAUAAGGGAACUUACUGACUGAAGAAAAACUUAAUAAUGAGAUGAACAAUUAGCUUAUCUUUCACUUUUCUAGAUACUUUAAGACCUAAAGAUUUAGAAUUAAUCUAGAAGAAGCUGGAGAAUUAAUUUGAAGCUGCUUAAGGAUUCCUGAUUGAUUUAUGGUACUCUUCUGGAAGAAGAGACUCUUAACUUGAAAUUAGCUUAAUCCUCACUUUAUUAUUGUUACUGGUCAAAUUAAUUGCUGUCUUUGUCAGAGAUCAUAAACACUCAACAAAUUUGAUAAUACAUACUUAGGUGUUUUUAUUUCUUGAAAGGUGAAGAUGUGUAAAAAAAAAAAAGAAUUUUGGUGGAAGUUUGUUAGAAUGAGUAAUCUCAGUAAUAUACGUGAAUCUAUAGAACAUAAUUUGAAAUCUUAUGCCUUUUGAGGUUUGCCCUUGUUCCACUUGUGUUUUGUCACUUUUUCCAGUCAUAAUUUCAAAAAUGUCAGAGUAGCCACAACAGAGCAUUUCUCCUGUUCCCACCUGGGCUCUGUGAUGUGAAAACAUGUUAGCACACUAGUGAUGAGCAUUGCCUUGAUAUUGGACUGGGCUGCUGAUAAUUUUAUGUAUUUCAGAAAAGUUGAAAAACUAGAUUCAUGAAACAGCACUUGUAAACCAUAACCUCACCACAAAGACAUUAGGGUGGUCGUGGCUGUAUAGAGUAUUUUAACCAGACACCUUUCACCCUUUCACAAAUCUUUUCUUUUUGAAGGUAACUGUGGGUGGUCUUCCUUUGUCCAAUUUCUGUAAAUUUGGUACAUCACUUUCUAGUUAUGCAGCUGAUUCUUGUGUUUAUGUGAAUGGCUAUUUAAAAAAAAGGAAAGAUCAGAUAUUUGUUGUUUCUUCAUUUCAACAUAAAUCAAACUUUGUACUCACAUGGCAAUUCUAGUUUAGUCCCAGGAAUAGCUUUAGUAUUGCUAAGUGUCUGGAGAGUAUUGACCAUAGAGACAUGAUUUUAAGCAGGCUAUAAUAGUUUCUACAGCUGUUAACAGUUCUCAGAAGAAAGCCAGUAUUAUUCAUUGGUAUUUAAAAUGUGCAUGACUUGCAUUGCACAGAAGUCAGAUUGGGAGAAUGUCAAAUUUUUUUUUCUAAAAUUCUGCCAGGAAAGUCUUCAAUAACUGGAGAAAUUCUUUUCACUGGUGAAAUCAACAUGCAGCACAUUGUGUUAUUAUACUUGCUUGUAGCUCACCAUGAAAGUUGUCUUUGUAUGCGUGGAUGUACGGCUUGUACUGUUUUGUUUUUAUUUAUUCUGCAUUCUUUAUUAUAAUGUUCUUUCCUUUUUUCCAGACUAAAAAGAUUGUUAUUGAGCCUUCCACAAAGCUGAAAUAAUGCUGUAUGUUAAAAAAAUGUUAACAAUUCGAAGAAGUUAUAAAAAUUUAUAAGUUGACUGAAUACUUUGGAAAUUUCUGCAUAUUUUAAUAUAAAUAGGUGCUGGCAGCAUGUGGAACUGAAAGCAGUGAAAGUCUGAAGGACUGGGGCACCAGAGGAGGUCAUGAGGAGCUGUCAUGCCUUAUAAGCCCUGCGGAAAGAGAAAGGGAGAAUGAUUCAUUGGUUGAUGAAAGCCUCUGUAGGUAAAGUUGGUUCAUCCCCUUUGUGCUGCAGCUCUUGGUCACCCCAUCCAGCAUGGACAAAAAGGCUGCAUAGCAUUCAGGGAAAAAACUGUGUCCUCCUGCUACUCUUGGUUUGUGGUGUAUUUAUCCACAUCACAUAUAGAACUUGGUCUAGACAGCCUGGUUAACUUAUAAGCCUUGGAAGUAGGAUCCUACAGGGAAUUCUACAGGACAAAGUGCUGUCCUGGAAGAUCUCUGAGAAAAAGAGGGCUGCUGUGAGUCUUAGUUCACUUUGAUCAAGUUAUUUCUACUGGAUGGUGUGAAAAACAAAUCAGGGAGUCUUAGAUACCAUCUCUUGGAGAGAAUGAAUCUGGAUUCAAUGCAGCUGGAUGCAGAAAGCUGAGGCCUAGCAACAACUGCAGGGCACAGUUACUACUUCAUCUUCUUUUUGGAGGUGUGAAGAGCACUUGUCCAUUUGUAACUGAAACUAUUCAAGAUGCAUGGGCCUGAAAGGGGACUAUAAGUUUCUCCUGCUUUCUAGUGUAGUAGAGAUCUUGUCUCCUAACAAACAUUAUGAAUAAAAGCUUUUGGUACAAGGAGAGAUGCACCAAUCUGGAACGCUGCUGUGAGCAGAUUUAUGUCUGCUUCUUCCCUGCCUUGGCAUUCUGGCAUUUAUGCACUCACUGCUCUGGUAGUGCACAUUCUUGCAGUGGUACUUGGAAGUUUACUGAAGCCCAAGUGUCUGAAAGAUACAGUGGAUCUGCUCACCAAGAGAAUUUGUCCCACUGGAUUCCUUUUUUUUUUUCUGUGCAGUUGAAUGAGGAGUAUGUGUCUUUUGAAGAGCAACAACUGAAAGAAA